CGGUAAUACCCGAUAAUCCCUCUUGGGCAAAGGCUUGCUGCCCCGGGAUCGGGCAACGCCCUAUCAGCUUGUUGGUGAGGUAACAGCCUACCAAGCCUUAGACGCCUAGCGGGUGUGAGAGCAUGACCCGCCGCAUCGGAACUGAGACACUGUCCGGACUCCUACGGGAGGCUGCAGUAACGAAUCUUCCGCAAUGAGCGAAAGCUUGACGGAGCAAUGCCGCGUGUAGGAUGAAGCCUUUCGGGGUGUAAACUACUGUCAGGAACUAGGAAAUAAAUGACCAAUUCCAGGAAGGGCCGGCUAACUUCGUGCCAGCAGCCGCGGUAAUACGAAGGGCCCGAGCGUUGAUCGGAUUUACUGGGCUUAAAGAGUGCGUAGGCGGAUAUGUAAGUGUCCUGUGAAAUCCCACUGCUCAACGGUGGAACUGCGGGGCAAACUGCAUAUCUUGAGGUCGGUAGGGGCUGUCGGAACAAUAGGUGUAGCGGUGAAAUGCGUAGAUAUCUAUUGGAACGCCAAUGGCGAAGGCAGACAGCUGGGCCGAUUCUGACGCUGAGGCACGAAAGCGUGGGGAGCAAACAGGAUUAGAUACCCUGGUAGUCCACGCCGUAAACGAUGUGCACUAGGUCCGGGAGGUUCUGACACCAUCCGGGCCGAAGCAAAAGUAUUAAGUGCACCGCCUGGGGAGUACGGUCGCAAGGCUAAAACUCAAAGGAAUUGACGGGGGCUCACACAAGCGGUGGAGCAUGUGGCUUAAUUCGAAGCAACGCGAAGAACCUUAUCCAGGGUUUGACAUGUAUGGAUACCCUUCCUGAAAGGGAAGUAAGUUGCCCUCGUGGUGAAACGUGCACAGGUGCUGCAUGGCUGUCGUCAGCUCGUGCUGUGAAGUGUCGGGGUAAGUCCCUUAACGAGCGAAACCCCUAUCAUUAGUUGCCAGCGCGCCUUCGGGUGGCGGGGACUCUAAUGAGACUGCCGGUGUUAAACCGGAGGAAGGUGGGGAUGACGUCAAGUCCUCAUGGCCUUUAUGCCCAGGGCUGCACACGUGCUACAAUGGCGCGCACAGAGCGAAGCAAUACCGUAAGGUCGAGCAAAUCGCAAAAAACGCGCCCCAGUUCGGAUUGGAGUCUGCAACUCGACUCCAUGAAGCUGGAAUCGCUAGUAAUCGCGUAUCAGCCACGACGCGGUGAAUAUGUUCCUGAGCCUUGUACA
This 1206-nucleotide ribosomal RNA is filed under the name uncultured prokaryote. Its description in RNAcentral is "partial 16S ribosomal RNA". It matches the Rfam family "Bacterial small subunit ribosomal RNA", at positions 161 to 1387 of the family's 1533-position model. The record is from RNAcentral.